RNAcentral lists this ribosomal RNA (427 nucleotides) under uncultured bacterium. Its description in RNAcentral is "partial 16S ribosomal RNA". It matches the Rfam family "Bacterial small subunit ribosomal RNA", at positions 355 to 774 of the family's 1533-position model. The record is from RNAcentral.
UGGGGAAUAUUGGACAAUGGGCGAAAGCCUGAUCCAGCCAUGCCGCGUGUGUGAAGAAGGUCUUCGGAUUGUAAAGCACUUUAAGUUGGGAGGAAGGGCAUUAACCUAAUACGUUAGUGUUUUGACGUUACCGACAGAAUAAGCACCGGCUAACUCUGUGCCAGCAGCCGCGGUUAUACAGAGGGUGCAAGCGUUAAUCGGAAUUACUGGGCGUAAAGCGCGCGUAGGUGGUUUGUUAAGUUGGAUGUGAAAUCCCCGGGCUCAACCUGGGAACUGCAUUCAAAACUGACUGACUAGAGUAUGGUAGAGGGUGGUGGAAUUUCCUGUGUAGCGGUGAAAUGCGUAGAUAUAGGAAGGAACACCAGUGGCGAAGGCGACCACCUGGACUAAUACUGACACUGAGGUGCGAAAGCGUGGGGAGCAAACA